AAAAGUCGAACAGGUUUAAAAUUUGAACGGCUACACCCAAAAUUAUAUCUUAAUCCAACAUCGAGGUCGCAAUCUUUUUUAUCGAUAUGAACUCUCCAAAAAAAUUACGCUGUUAUCCCUAAAGUAACUUAAAUUUUUAAUCAUUAUUAAUGGAUCAAUUAUUCAUAAAUUAAUGGUUUUUAAAAUUAAAAGUUUUUUAAAUUUUAAUAUCACCCCAAUAAAAUAUUUUUAUUUAUUAUAAUAAAAAUAAUCUUUAUAAUUAAAAUAAACAAAAUAUAAAGAUUUAUAGGGUCUUCUCGUCUUUUAAAUUUAUUUUAGCUUUUUGACUAAAAAAUAAAAUUCUAUAAAAAAUUUAAAUGAAACAGUUAAUAUUUCGUCCAACCAUUCAUUCCAGCCUUCAAUUAAAAGACUAAUGAUUAUGCUACCUUUGCACAGUUAGAAUACUGCGGCCAUUUAAAAUUUUCAGUGGGCAGGUUAGACUUUAAAUUUAUUUCAAAAAGAC
RNAcentral lists this ribosomal RNA (502 nucleotides) under Drosophila furcatarsus. RNAcentral describes it as "partial 16S ribosomal RNA". Lineage: Eukaryota; Metazoa; Arthropoda; Insecta; Diptera; Drosophilidae. The record is from RNAcentral.